This 670-nucleotide long non-coding RNA is filed under the name Pan troglodytes (chimpanzee). RNAcentral's name for it is "lincRNA". Lineage: Eukaryota; Metazoa; Chordata; Mammalia; Primates; Hominidae. The record is from RNAcentral.
GACCACUGAAAAGUUGUUUAAUCUCUCUGUGCCUGGGUUUCUGCAUUUGUAAAACAGAGGUGAUAAUAAUAAAUUUUAAGCAGAGUUUCAAGAAAGUAGUUGAUACCUCUGUCUCUGAAGACAGUUGCUGAGCAAAAAGAAGGGAAAAAGCAAGACUUGGGGUGGAGGGAUCAGAGAGAUGGGAUCUUGCUCUGUCACCUAGACUGGAGUGCAGCAGUACAAUCAUAGCUUACUGUAGCCUCAAACUCUUGGGCUCAAGUGAUCCUCCUGCCUGAGCACCCCCAGUCUCUGCGAUUACAGGCAUCAACUUUCAUCCUUUCAAAUUUCUCAGAAUUUUUCAGCAACAUAGGCUCAGGGAGGAGCCCAGUCAAGGCAAGGAGCAGCUGGUUGGAGCAUCAUGCGCAACAAACUUUAAAGCAUCAGAAGAAUAAAGCUGAAGGCUGGACCUCAUGUACCCCUUCCUGAAGAGAAGGACCCAGGCCGUGACCCCUCUCACCAAAGGAAAUGAUGCUUUCUAAUGGAAAGAAUAGCAUUCUUAGCAUCAACCUCUGUCCACUGAGAAGUUUCUUACUGAUUGACUCCUUAAGUCAGCCCCAAACCCUUUAAUAUGCCACCCAAAACUUGUCUGAUUGAGAACAUGACAAAAGAACACUGAAGAGAUAAAUAAGAA